UAGGGAAUUUUGGGCAAUGGGCGAAAGCCUGACCCAGCAACGCCGCGUGUGGGAUGAAGGCCCUCGGGUCGUAAACCACUGUCAGGAGGAAAGAAAAAGUCGGCCGGAUAAUACUCGGUCGACCUGACGGUACCUCCAAAGGAAGCACCGGCUAACUCCGUGCCAGCAGCCGCGGUAAUACGGAGGGUGCAAGCGUUGUUCGGAAUUACUGGGCGUAAAGCGCGUGUAGGUGGUCGAGUAAGUCGAAUGUGAAAGCCCCGGGCUCAACCCCGGGAAGUGCAUCCUAAACUGCUCGACUAGAGUCCCGGAGAGGAAGGCAGAAUUCCCAAUGUAGGGGUGAAACCCGUAGAUAUUGGGAGGAAUACCGGUGGCGAAGGCGGCCUUCUGGACGGUGACUGACACUCAGACGCGAAAGCGUGGGGAGCAAACAGGAUUAGAUACCCUCGUAGUCCCUGAGCGGGCUGGCAAGGCGCAU
RNAcentral lists this ribosomal RNA (475 nucleotides) under uncultured bacterium. RNAcentral's name for it is "bacterial SSU rRNA". It matches the Rfam family "Bacterial small subunit ribosomal RNA", at positions 355 to 825 of the family's 1533-position model. The record is from RNAcentral.